AAUCCCCUGAUCUGACCGAAGCCCAACGCACCGCGCCGGGUACACAGGUAGGCAGAUCGGGGAUUU
Molecule: non-coding RNA, 66 nt
Submitted as: unclassified sequences
Source: Rfam